Molecule: long non-coding RNA, 404 nt
Filed under: Monodelphis domestica (gray short-tailed opossum)
Lineage: Eukaryota; Metazoa; Chordata; Mammalia; Didelphimorphia; Didelphidae
Description: lncRNA (ENSMODG00000044813.1)
Source: RNAcentral
GUGGCAAUCCUUUCAAGUCUCAGUGUUAUGAAACCAAAUUUGCCUCCUUAAAGUAUUACACAUUAUCUCUAAUUCACUGUGUUUAUUACUCAUGUCUUAUGCACUUAUACAUUUGAAAUCAUGUUUUCCUUUGCUGGUUCUUAUAGGGUGUUGGACUCAGAGUUUAGAAGACUUGAGCUCAAAUUUUGUCUCAGACCUUUAUUAGCUGUAUGACAGUGGAUAAAAGGAAUGAAGCCCCAUUCUUUGGCAGCUGGGAAAGUAGGAAAAAAAAGAUGCAGUUCUACCAUUGUCCAAUAAGAACUGUACCAAGACUGGUAUAUCUAGAAUCCCUAAAGCAUAUAAUUGGGGACUUUGUGAGUUGGAAUGGACCUCUGAGGCACCUGAUACAAGUUUCCUCAAAGUAA